Molecule: long non-coding RNA, 849 nt
Filed under: Homo sapiens (human)
Lineage: Eukaryota; Metazoa; Chordata; Mammalia; Primates; Hominidae
Description: HSALNT0222271
Source: RNAcentral
CUUGCUUGGAUGUUCACACCCUUAACUAGUCCCUGUGGCCAGGGACAGGGCAUCCUGGUUUGGAGUGAGUGAGGCAGUUAUUUACCUGCCUGUAGAGGACAGGUGGAAAAGGGGGAGGACAUUUAGCUCUUCAAAGAAAAAUAGCAGGUGUCCACAUAGGGACCUACGAGCUUUCCCAAACUGGGGACACCAGUGCUGGCCAUGGGAAAGGGACCUUUGUUGGGGUGGAGGCACAGGGGAACGCCUGAGGAGUGAAGCUGUGAUGGGGCUCGGGGCUGCCUAUCCGGAGGUGUGCAUUUCCCUGCCUGUGCUCCCAAGAAGGAGCCCCAAAUGUUUCUCUGGUCUCUCUAAAGUGCUCAGCAGGGAGCAGCAAAAUUACCAAGUUUAGCAUAAACUCCCCUCCCCACCUUGUCCCAGGACAAAGUAAAGAGCUGGUGAAACUGCUCACAAACAUUGCCAGGUGUGCACAGAAGCAGGCACACAACAAUGAGAGUCUCCGGACCUGGGGCAGGGAGUCCCAUCCUGCCAAAUGCAGAGUCCUAUCUUUGUUGACAACUUAAUCUCUCAGAAAGUAGGGGAACAAGAACAACUGCUUCCACAGACUUAAUUGUGGUCAACAAAGAACUGGCUGUUGAAAUGGCAAAGAAAGGAAAUUGAGAAAACAUAACCAUACACUCAGAAUGUGUUUGUGGACUAGGUAUGUGUCCAGAGCUGCCGCUCGCCCCUUCUAUUUUGGACACCUGAGACCUUGCACAUUAGGUAUGGGCAGGGCCACCUGGAAAAGUCAGAUUUAAUGCCUCCAGAAGCUGCCCACAGUCAUCUAGGGAUCGAAGUUUGGUGAAUCAGUAC